This 4163-nucleotide unclassified non-coding RNA is filed under the name Mizuhopecten yessoensis (Yesso scallop). RNAcentral's name for it is "uncharacterized LOC110458476, transcript variant X2". Lineage: Eukaryota; Metazoa; Mollusca; Bivalvia; Pectinida; Pectinidae. The record is from RNAcentral.
ACACCAAUAUAUAAGGACAAGUGGUACAAAAUAUAGAAGUGACCCAUCUAACCACAGACACAUAUCAGUUACUAUUUUUAGCAAAUUGUUUGAAAAAAAUGAUUUUAAAAUACACGUUAACCAAACAGGUAGAGCUAGUUUGGAAGACAGAGAAAGGUAAUUAUACCAGACAAAGUAAGUAAUGAAGUUCGGUUUUGUUUAGUUUUGUUUACCGUCCUAUUAACAGCUAAGGACAUUUAAGGAUGUGCCUCCAUAUGUGUUGGGUACGCGUGCUUGUGUGUGUGUAUACGGGAGACAGUGUAUGUUGAUAUGCUAAUCUCCUUGUGAUAGCGCGGAUCUGAUGCCGACUAUCUCGCUAGAGCAGAGAAAGGUAAGUAUAACCGACAGAGCUAGUGUGGAAGGCAGGGAAAGGUAAGUAUAACCGACAGAGCUAGUGUGGAAGGCAGGGAAAGGUAGGUAUAACCGACAGAGUUUGUAGUCAAGGGUAACAUAUAUCUACCAGAAAGGUAGGGCUAGUGUGGAAGGCGGGGAAAGGUUGGUAUAAUCGACAAAGUUUGUAGUCAAGGAUAACAUACGUAUACCAAACGGGUACAGCUGGUGUGGAAGGCGGGGAAAGGUUAGUAUAACUGACAAGAGUUUGUAGUCAAGGGUAACAUAUGUUUACCAGAAAGGUAGGGCUAGUGUGGAAGGCGGGGAAAGGUUAGUAUAACUGACAGAGUUUGUAGUCAAGGGUAACAUACGUCUACCAGAAAGGUAGGGCUGGUGUGGAAGGCGGGGAAAGGUUAGUAUAACCGACAGAGUUUGUAGUCAAGGGUAACAUUUGAAUAAGAGUAGGGAGUGUGUGCAAUCUGAAUUAUUGGUGAAACACAUCAGUGAUUUAUUUAAUAACUGAAGUUAAAAGCUCACACGUCGGUACAUUAUCAUCGCUAUACUUGUUCAUCGGCUUUCGAUUAAGUUAUGAACAGGAAUAUCCAGCUAACUCGAAUAAAUGACAGGACACAGUUGUACAAAAAUAGAAUUCGUAGAAAUUCAUUCAAGUUAACCCCAUGAUAUUAGGGGAACAUGUACUUACAAUAACACGAACACGUAUACGGAUAUAUAUAGGCUUGCAACAGCAAGGGGCAUACAUGAACGAGGACGGGUGCCUUUGGAGACACCGUCUGAAACAAAUUUAUAUAGGUAUUAAUAUUGUGAUAUUUAGAGGCAUUGUUUGUUGGUAAUGUAUAAUAUGCGUAUUGUAUCUUUUUAACGAUACAUGUUAUUGAAUUGAUGAAGUUUGAUAAAGUUGUAAGGUUUAAACACAUAUGACGGAGUCGAGUGGAUGGCAAGAUAUGACCCAGAUGUGUUGAUACAUGUAAAGGACUAAACAUAAACCAUGUACUGCACAGGUAUUUGGAUAUACUAUAUGUUAAUUGGCAAAACGUUGCUGCAGAAUUAUUAAAGUGUUUGAUUAGAGUGUUUUAAUUGGUAUAUUGUAUUUAAUCCAAGUGCUAAUACAUACGGGGGAUGGAUGGCGGUGGCGUAGAAAAUUCACCCGCAGGUAAUGAACAGUGGACUUGUCGGUAACUCGAUACCUCGUAUUAUGUUCCGUUUAACAGUCUAAAUACACAUGUACAAAACAGAUGUUACAUACCCGGAAGUGCUGGACUGAGAAAACAUACUGCUAUUUGAUUUCUGUGUCUAUCACAUAAACAUCUCUUUGCAAGAUAAGCGUACUUCCUGAAGUUUUUGUUGACCGGCUAUCACGUUGAAGAUUUGGUAUGACAUUGAGGCGUACAAUUCUGAUGAUGCCAGAGCAGUGGAUAUUGUCUUACAUGAAACAUGGCCCUUAACAUCACACACUGGCAAAACGAAGUUAAUAGCGAGGACGGCGAGGUAUCUACACUGACUUUGAGAAGUCACACAAGCAACAACCCAUCCGCUUUGGAAAUAAACAUCAAACGAAAAAAAGACCCUCUAAUAGAUUUCCUAUUUUUGCAACUAUUCAAUAAUUUGAGUCAUGCGAUAUUUCAAUCCUUCUUUCGUGCGUCACAAUGUUGCUCUUUUACGUGUCCUGAUGACGUAUUGGGGAGAUCCUUAGUAAUCGUUACCGUGUGCGGUGUCAAAACAUUGGGUACUGAUACAGGUGUCUCGUACCACAUCCUGAUGGGAGGCAAGGCAUUAGUUAACCUCACAGGCGGUGUAACAACCAACCACGUUAUGGUUAAUAUACAACCGCUUACAACAUACCUAGAUCUAAUGGCAGAUGCGACAAAUAAGAUACCGUAUCCUGUGGACGUGGUUGGGGUCGGCCCGUAUAGGUACAUGUUGACAGACUUGAAUCAAGGCGGCGAACACACGGACGGCGUCAUCAUCUUCCUGCACCAGAUCCACCCUCCGGCCGCGUGUAUCAUGUUCAAACAUGGUUCCAAAGCAACUAUACGUGUGUGAGUCAGCUAGCUGUGGACGAACAUGAGAAGCCUAACAACGUACCCGGACACAUACACAUUAGAUUAACGUUUAGAGUGGCUGCCAGGAUACACACGUACCGGGACAUGUCGUUUACACCUACAUCGGCAAAAAUGAUAUUUAGCAGGAGAACAUAUGGUGUCAUUGUAUGCUGUCAUUGUUAAAUGAGUGUAGAGGGAGUCACAGGACCGGAUCACCUUUGAAUGUCCAGGUACUUCAUGUUACUUAGACACAGUGGUUUACAUUUCAAUAGCGAUAUGACAUUACAUGGCCAGGAAGCAUUUUUAAUUGGAGGGAAGGAAAGCACAGAUCCUCAGAUCGUCAGUUGCAAAUGAAUACUGAUUUCCAAGAAGUUAAGGUGAAAUCUGUCGUUAACAGACACAUUUGACUUCAAAGCGAAGAAGGCACUAGACAGGUUCAGUAUAGAAGGAAGAUCGGGAAGAUGAGUCCACGUUAAAACACCAGCUAUAUAUCGGUCCACGUUAAAACACCAGCUAUAUAUCAGUCCACGUUAAAACACCAGCUAUAUAUCAGUCCACGUUAAAACACCAGCUAUAUAUCAGUCCACCUGUACCCCUGCAGCGGCUGAACGAUCGCUUUUGCCAAGCUCUACUCCAUUUCCUUUCCAUACUAGACCCCCACUAUUAAAUACUACACCACCAAUUCCAAAACAUGACGUAAACGCCGCACAUCAGAUUGAACCAUCUAAACAAUGUGUUCUGUUCGAAACUUUCGACUCGACGACCUCUGGACAUUUAUCUUCACCUGCAAAGUUAUCUAUUACCGGAAAGACACUGACCAACUCUGGAUUCACUCAGACUUUACGUAACAAGUCGAAUAUCGAUAUUCAAUCAACAUAUACAAUACCAGUUUAUACACAAUCUCCUAUCAAUAUCCCAGGUUCAACCUCAGUGUCUACCAAGUCCCAAAUAUCUAAUACCAUACAAACAACCCCAGUGUCUACCACGUACAACAAAUCUAGUACAAACACAACAAGCCCAGUGUCUACAAUGUCUCACAAAUCUAGUACAAACACUACAACCCCGAUGUCUAACCAGUCCCACAAUUCCAGUUCAAACACUACAACCCCGGUGUCUACCAUGUCCAACAAAUCUGGUACAAACACUAUAACACCGGUGUCUACCAUAUCCCACAAAUCCAGUACAAACACUACAAACCCAGUGUCUACCAUGUUCGACAAAUCUAGUACAAACACAAUAACCCAAGCCUCUACAACGUCUCACAAAUCUAGUACAAACACAAUAACCCCAGUGUCUACCAAGUCCCAAAUAUAUAAUACCAUACCAACAACCCCAGUGUCUACCACGUACAACAAAUCCAGUAUAAACUCUACAACCCCGAUGUCUAACCAGUCCCACAAUUCCAGUACAAACACUGCAACCCUGGUGUCUACCAUGUCCAACAAAUCUGGUACAAACACUAUAACACCGGUGUCUACCAUAUCUCACAAAUCUAGAAAAAACACUACAACCCCGGUGUCUACCAUGUUCGACAAAUCUAGUACAAACACUAUAUUACCGGUGUCUACCAUAUCUCACAAAUCUAGAACAAACACUACAACCCCGGUGUCUACCAUGUUCGACAAAUCUAGUACAAACACAAUAACCCAAGCCUCUACAACGUCUCACAAAUCUAGUACAAACACAAUAACCCCAGUGUCUACAAUGUCCCUCAAAUCCAGUACAAACACUACA